Molecule: ribosomal RNA, 253 nt
Filed under: Neglectibacter timonensis
Lineage: Bacteria; Bacillati; Bacillota; Clostridia; Eubacteriales; Oscillospiraceae
Also listed under: 1 other name
Description: partial 16S ribosomal RNA
Rfam family: Bacterial small subunit ribosomal RNA
Source: RNAcentral
UACGUAGGGAGCAAGCGUUGUCCGGAUUUACUGGGUGUAAAGGGUGCGUAGGCGGUUUGGUAAGUCAGAAGUGAAAUCCAUGGGCUUAACCCAUGAACUGCUUUUGAAACUAUCGAACUUGAGUGAAGUAGAGGUAGGCGGAAUUCCCGGUGUAGCGGUGAAAUGCGUAGAGAUCGGGAGGAACACCAGUGGCGAAGGCGGCCUACUGGGCUUUAACUGACGCUGAGGCACGAAAGCAUGGGUAGCAAACAGG